Etheostoma cragini (Arkansas darter) is the source of this 528-nucleotide long non-coding RNA. RefSeq lists it as uncharacterized. NCBI's taxonomy places the organism in Eukaryota, Metazoa, Chordata, Actinopteri, Perciformes, Percidae. The transcript is spliced from 3 exons. The record is from RefSeq and is a predicted model, not a curated record.
AAAUUGUUUACAAUGAAAAUGAUGGUGGGGGAAAACCGAUGCUUUAAACAAGUUCUUAGUGUCUGUUUUUAAAGAAGGAACUCACUUCACGUGACAGGAGUAGGAAUUGUUAAAUGGACUGACUGCUAAUGAAACCCCGGACUUCAAUCAGCAAAAAGAGACAGAAUUUGAAAUUGUUCCAAUACGGUUUUGAUGGUUUGCUACUGAAGCUGAUAUAUUUGGGUCAGUUUUAUUGUUAUUUCUGAGCUGUUUUUGCAUCAGAGGUGUUUUUAAUGCGCAAGCUAUAACAGUACCGACACAUGCACUUCCUGGGUGGCCACCUUAUUCCACAUUGUAUUGUUGCACUUUUCUGCAAGCUUGCUAGAAACAAACUGCACUUAUUGUAAAAUGUAGUCACUUGAAAAAGUGUCCACAUAAUGAGAUGCCAAAUACACUUUCUAACCGUCUGAAUAGCAGGUGAAGGGAAGAGGCACACAGUUUGUACACAUCCACCUAAGCAUGCAUGCUCCUAAAUCACAGCUUGUAUUU